This 511-nucleotide ribosomal RNA is filed under the name uncultured Glomus. Its description in RNAcentral is "SSU rRNA". It matches the Rfam family "Eukaryotic small subunit ribosomal RNA", at positions 569 to 1084 of the family's 1831-position model. The record is from RNAcentral. Lineage: Eukaryota; Fungi; Glomeromycota; Glomeromycetes; Glomerales; Glomeraceae.
AGCAGCCGCGGUAAUUCCAGCUCCAAUAGCGUAUAUUAAAGUUGUUGCAGUUAAAAAGCUCGUAGUUGAAUUUCGAGACCGGCUUACUGGUCGUGCUUUUGUGCGUACUGGUAUAAUCGGUUUCUCCUUUCUGACGAACUUUAAUGCCAUUAAUUUGGUGUUUUAGGGAAUCAGGACUGUUACUUUGAAAAAUUAGAGUGUUUAAAGCAGGCUCACGCUUGAAUACAUUAGCAUGGAAUAACGGAAUAGGACGUUUGAUUCUAUUUUGUUGGUUUCUAGGAUCGACGUAAUGAUUAAUAGGGAUAGUUGGGGGCAUUAGUAUUCAAUUGUCAGAGGUGAAAUUCUUGGAUUUAUUGAAGACUAACUACUGCGAAAGCAUUUGCCAAGGAUGUUUUCAUUAAUCAAGAACGAAAGUUAGGGGAUCGAAGACGAUCAGAUACCGUCGUAGUCUUAACCAUAAACUAUGCCGACUAGGGAUCGGAUGAUGUUAAUUUUUAAUGACUCAUUCGGC